This 484-nucleotide ribosomal RNA is filed under the name uncultured bacterium. RNAcentral describes it as "partial 16S ribosomal RNA". It matches the Rfam family "Bacterial small subunit ribosomal RNA", at positions 30 to 507 of the family's 1533-position model. The record is from RNAcentral.
AUUGAACGCUGGCGGUAGGCCUAACACAUGCCAGUCGAGCGGAUGAAGGGAGCUUGCUCCUGGAUUCAGCGGCGGACGGGUGAGUAAUGCCUAGGAAUCUGCCUGGUAGUGGGGGAUAACGUCCGGAAACGGGCGCUAAUACCGCAUACGUCCUGAGGGAGAAAGUGGGGGAUCUUCGGACCUCACGCUAUCAGAUGAGCCUAGGUCGGAUUAGCUAGUUGGUGGGGUAAAGGCCUACCAAGGCGACGAUCCGUAACUGGUCUGAGAGGAUGAUCAGUCACACUGGAACUGAGACACGGUCCAGACUCCUACGGGAGGUAGCAGUGGGGAAUAUUGGACAAUGGGCGAAAGCCUGAUCCAGCCAUGCCGCGUGUGUGAAGAAGGUCUUCGGAUUGUAAAGCACUUUAAGUUGGGAGGAAGGGCAGUAAGUUAAUACCUUGCUGUUCUGACGUUACCAACAGAAUAAGCACCGGCUAACUUCGUG